RNAcentral lists this ribosomal RNA (467 nucleotides) under uncultured bacterium. RNAcentral describes it as "partial 16S ribosomal RNA". It matches the Rfam family "Bacterial small subunit ribosomal RNA", at positions 28 to 523 of the family's 1533-position model. The record is from RNAcentral.
GAUGAACGCUGGCGGCGUGCCUAACACAUGCAAGUCGAGCGAUUCUCUUCGGAGAAGAGCGGCGGACGGGUGAGUAACGCGUGGGUAACCUGCCCUGUACACACGGAUAACAUACCGAAAGGUAUGCUAAUACGAGAUAAUAUGCUUUUAUCGCAUGGUAGAAGUAUCAAAGCUCCAGCGGUACAGGAUGGACCCGCGUCUGAUUAGCUAGUUGGUAAGGUAACGGCUUACCAGGGCGACGAUCAGUAGCCGACCUGAGAGGGUGAUCGGCCACAUUGGAACUGAGACACGGUCCAAACUCCUACGGGAGGCAGCAGUGGGAAUAUUGCACAAUGGGCGAAAGCCUGAUGCAGCAACGCCGCGUGAGCGAUGAAGGCCUUCGGGUCGUAAAGCUCUGUCCUCAAGGAAGAUGAUGACGGUACUUGAGGAGGAAGCCCCGGCUAACUACGUGCCAGCAGCCGCAGUAA